RNAcentral lists this ribosomal RNA (510 nucleotides) under uncultured Bacteroidales bacterium. RNAcentral's name for it is "partial 16S ribosomal RNA". Lineage: Bacteria; Pseudomonadati; Bacteroidota; Bacteroidia; Bacteroidales. The record is from RNAcentral.
CACGGAGUUAGCCGAUGCUUUUUCUUCGGAUACACGCAGUCCGGGACACAUCCCGGGUUUUGUUCUCCGACAAAAGAGGUUUACAACCCAUAGGGCCGUCUUCCCUCACGCGGCUUGGCUGGUUCAGGAUCUCUCCCAUUGACCAAUAUUCCUCACUGCUGCCUCCCGUAGGAGCCUGGUCCGUGUCUCAGUACCAGUGUGGGGGACCUUCCUCUCAGAACCCCUACGCAUCGUCGCCACGGUGGGCCGUUACCCCGCCGUCAAGCUAAUGCGCCGCAUGCCCAUCCUCUUCCGAUGAAUCUUUCCUCGAUCUCGGAUGCCCGAAACCGAUAUACGCGGGAUUAGCCUCCCUUUCGGAAGGUUGUCCCCCUGAAGAGGGCAGGUUGCAUACGUGUUACUCACCCGUGCGCCGGUCGCCGGCAAGGAAAGCAAGCUUCCUCCCGAUCGCCCCUCGACUUGCAUGUGUUAAGCCUGCCGCUAGCGUUCAUCCUGAGCCAGGAUCGAAACUCU